CUAUUUGACCAAUCUCCUCAAAAGAUUUGGGUUAUCAAGAUGGGCAUGGUGGAGAGCACGUCUUUAACCCAAGCACUCUGAAGGCAGAUCACCAAUCAGAGACCAGUCUGGAAUGGACCUAUAGCAUAGAUCUGCCUGAUGACACCGAUGGCACCCCACGUGUGGCUCCUGCCCUGUCUCCUGACACAGACCUGCGCUGGUCCCGAACCCCAAGCCCUGCUCCCCUACAGGCCUGAGCACCGCCCUGGAGUCCCAGGAGGAUGUCGGAGUUUCAUCCCUGACCGCCAUCCUCAGGCUCACACUCAUCGCCCA
This is a long non-coding RNA of Mastomys coucha (southern multimammate mouse), 312 nucleotides long. RefSeq lists it as uncharacterized. The record is from RefSeq and is a predicted model, not a curated record. Lineage: Eukaryota; Metazoa; Chordata; Mammalia; Rodentia; Muridae. The transcript has 3 exons.